Molecule: long non-coding RNA, 1883 nt
Organism: Helianthus annuus (common sunflower)
Lineage: Eukaryota; Viridiplantae; Streptophyta; Magnoliopsida; Asterales; Asteraceae
Exons: 8
Source: RefSeq, a predicted model, not a curated record
UAAGGACCAGGUUCGCCAGAAACACGAAGCUUGCAGCGUUGUGCAUCUCAAAUGUGUUCUAUAUUCAGGAUGGGAUAAUUAUAUAUAUAUAUGGAACCCAUUAAGUGGAAGUUACCUUUGAAAUCAAUAUUAUCCGUUCGAUCAUGCUGAGAUGAAAUCUCAGCCGUUUAAACUCCCAAAAAUAACCGCUAUGAUGGCGGUUUUUUUUACAGUUACUUGCAGUUUCACAGUUCCACACUCUCUCUCCCAUAAACCUGCAGUUAGCGACGGUUCUAGCUUUUCACCUAAAUUUCCGUUCUCUCUUCCCCACGUCGCCACAACUCCCCUAAAUUCCACGUUCUCCACCUACCCACAUUAUUCGCUGGUAACCUCCCAUGUUUCGGUAAACAAAUACCCUCUUCUCGCAUCUUUCCACUCUCCAGCCACCAAUCUUCGUCUUCAUCGUAUCUCUCUGUAGUAUCAGCCUCUCUCUCAAGACUUUACUAUGCUCUGCUGUGAAGCUUUUACGCAAGGGAAAGAAAGAUACAACAAUAGGAGAGGUAUGAUUAUAUCAUCUUUCAUAGUUUCACUACAAUAGAUGAAAUUAUAAUAUUUGCUUCUACAUAUAUCUAUUUCCUAAUCAAAACCAGUUGUUCACUGUUGAACAAGUUUUAUAUUGAUAUAUGCAAAUCAACAUUGAUACCACUGGAACUUUCUUGCAUGUGUAGAGUGCUCGGUGAUCAGGGCCAGAGAUGAUAAAUUAAAGGAGUAACUUUGCAGCUGAUGAUUGAGAAGAUAUGGCUAUGCUUCACAUAAUAAAUAGAAAAUAAUAUUAUUGCUGUACUUUGACCCUGUUGGUGCACACCCUACUGGUGAGAUUGGUGAACACUCACGUGGGGGUCCCCAACACUCAUAUGUUUUUUCAGUAAGUUGCCAUUGGGAGCCUACCUGAACUUAAGAGUUUUUGGAACUGACUACUUAACUAAAGAUGGAACAAGGGUACAGGAUUAUAUCCAUGUACAUUUAGCUGACGGAUACGCUGCUGCAUUGAAAAAGCUCUCUGUCCCAAAAAUAGGUGUGUCUAUGUAUUUUUUUCCUACUAAUUACAGUUUAAAGAAAUAUGCAAAAUUGAUACAUAGGGUUGUUUCAUUUGUGUCAAGCUGCUGCUGUAUUUGGAGGGAAGAGUUUGGCAACCCAAAUAUCUGAGAGAUUUGCAUAUGAGGUUUAUGUUUUUAUAAGACUUGUCUACAUAUUUAUUAAAAAUUUGAAUUAAAUGUUUAUUAAUUAAUCUGAUAUAGAUUGCAGGCGCUAUUUUUUUCAUUAUCUUUGUAAUCCAGUCAUUCUUUUCAACAAUAGAAUCAUAAGUAUGGAUACUAGAUACUACAAAGAGUGUAACCUUGAAAUGUUGAGGGGAAUAUCAUUUGUGUUUAACAAAAAUGUUGUGGUGACUGGAUUCUUUUCCAUCUCAGCAAUCCGUGAUCCGAUUGACCUAGGAUGCAGGCUCACACCAUAAUCUACAAAUAACCAGAGUGGCCUUUGAAUUGUGUUCCGGAACUUACUGCUUCAUCAAACCAAUAAAUUUUAAAGUGCUCGGAGAGGGUAUAGAGGUUGCUUCUUGAGCGCCCAGUUGGAGAUUUAGAAGUUGUUGCCUGCUGAAACAUGGGAUCUUGGAUAGAGCUUGUAACUACUCUAUACAUAUCACCACUAUAUGCUAAAAUAAUGUUUUGGCCUCUUGCACUACCAUAAAAAAGUCACUUCAAAGCUGCAGCAAAAAUGAGAGCUAUGAAGCUUGAAAAUGGUAUUUACCUUAAUGUGGUCUCGGAUUUUACAAAAACUAUUCUUUCUCUUUUGUCAACAUACUUCAUCUUUUAGACAGUGCAGUGCACUUUUUUACUGAAAGGAGA